Seriola aureovittata is the source of this 625-nucleotide long non-coding RNA. RefSeq lists it as uncharacterized. The transcript is spliced from 3 exons. The record is from RefSeq and is a predicted model, not a curated record. NCBI's taxonomy places the organism in Eukaryota, Metazoa, Chordata, Actinopteri, Carangiformes, Carangidae.
UUCAAUUAGGUGCGCAACUGCCUUCAUGCGACCAUCCCGCGGUGAAAAUUCAACAAAACAUAAUGAUAAUACCUCCAAUUUGUAGCCAGCAAGUUAGGCAAAAAAAGUAUACCCAAAGCCGCCCCACCCGGAAAUCUAAAAAUAAAGCCGCCCGGCCGGAAAUUGAAAAAUGUCGAAAGAAGAAGAUGAAGACGACCGACGACGUUGUCCCACUGUCUGCAUUUGACUUCACAUGACAAUAUUCACAACUUUAAAUACUGUUAUGAAAAAAAAAAAAUCUUAAUUUAUUCAACCCGUGGACACUUACGGACCAAAGGAAUAUAAAUAAUCGAGAAAUGGACCAACGGUUGAACUACACCACCGCUUCUAAAGCACGAACUUUAAACUGUCUGCCAGUGACCAGGCGUUUUCAAGAGGCUCUUCCUAUGACCCCGUCCACAGCAGCUCAUCGUCCAGCUCCUGUGCUCCUGCUGCGUCUCUAAACUGGGAGUGCGCUGAUCUGAAUCUACUGCAGGUAGGCUGAUUGUUUUAUUUUUUUUUUUGUAGCUUUGGACAGAAAUUUUCCCCCUGUUUCCAGUAUUGAGCUGUCUGGCCUCAUAAUUAGAAGAACAUAUGAUCAAACGUA